Molecule: ribosomal RNA, 267 nt
Filed under: uncultured Staphylococcus sp.
Lineage: Bacteria; Bacillati; Bacillota; Bacilli; Caryophanales; Staphylococcaceae
Description: partial 16S ribosomal RNA
Rfam family: Bacterial small subunit ribosomal RNA
Source: RNAcentral
CGGCGGACGGGUGAGUAACACGUGGAUAACCUACCUAUAAGACUGGGAUAACUUCGGGAAACCGGAGCUAAUACCGGAUAAUAUAUUGAACCGCAUGGUUCAAUAGUGAAAGACGGUUUUGCUGUCACUUAUAGAUGGAUCCGCGCCGCAUUAGCUAGUUGGUAAGGUAACGGCUUACCAAGGCAACGAUGCGUAGCCGACCUGAGAGGGUGAUCGGCCACACUGGAACUGAGACACGGUCCAGACUCCUACGGGAGGGCAGCAGCG